AGAGUUUGAUCCUGGCUCAGGACGAACGCUGGCGGCGUGCUUAACACAUGCAAGUCGAACGAGGCCCCGCUUCGGGUGGGUGUUCUAGUGGCGAACGGGUGAGUACACGUGGGCAACCUGCCCCGGCUCUGGGAUAACUCCAAGAAAUUGGGGCUAAUCCGGAUAUGACCGCUGAUCGCAUGGUCUGGUGGUGGAAAGUUUUUCGGCUGGGGAUGGGCCCGCGGCCUAUCAGCUUGUUGGUGGGGUAGUGGCCUACCAAGGCGCGACGGGUAGCCGGCCUGAGAGGGUGACCGGCCACACUGGGACUGAGACACGGCCCAGACUCCUACGGGAGGCAGCAGUGGGGAAUAUUGCGCAAUGGGCGGAAGCCUGACGCAGCGACGCCGCGUGGGGGAUGACGNNCUUCGGGUUGUAAACCUCUUUCAGCAGGGACGAAGCGGAAGUGACGGUACCUGCAGAAGAAGCACCGGCCAACUACGUGCCAGCAGCCGCGGUAAUACGUAGGGUGCAAGCGUUGUCCGGAAUUAUUGGGCGUAAAGAGCUCGUAGGCGGUUCGUCGCGUCGGCUGUGAAAACCCGGAGCUCAACUCCGGGCCUGCAGUCGAUACGGGCGGACUUGAGUGUUGCAGGGGAGACUGGAAUUCCUGGUGUAGCGGUGAAAUGCGCAGAUAUCAGGAGGAACACCGGUGGCGAAGGCGGGUCUCUGGGCAACUACUGACGCUGAGGAGCGAAAGCGUGGGGAGCGAACAGGAUUAGAUACCCUAGUAGUCC
This 770-nucleotide ribosomal RNA is filed under the name uncultured bacterium. RNAcentral's name for it is "bacterial SSU rRNA". It matches the Rfam family "Bacterial small subunit ribosomal RNA", at positions 8 to 796 of the family's 1533-position model. The record is from RNAcentral.